GAUGAACGCUGGCGGCGUGCCUAAUACAUGCAAGUCGAGCGAACAGACGAGGAGCUUGCUCCUCUGACGUUAGCGGCGGACGGGUGAGUAACACGUGGAUAACCUACCUAUAAGACUGGGAUAACUUCGGGAAACCGGAGCUAAUACCGGAUAACAUGUUGAACCGCAUGGUUCAACAGUGAAAGACGGUCUUGCUGUCGCUUAUAGAUGGAUCCGCGCCGCAUUAGCUAGUUGGUAAGGUAACGGCUUACCAAGGCAACGAUGCGUAGCCGACCUGAGAGGGUGAUCGGCCGCACUGGAACUGAGACACGGUCCAGACUCCUACGGGAGGCAGCAGUAGGGAAUCUUCCGCAAUGGGCGAAAGCCUGACGGAGCAACGCCGCGUGAGUGAAGAAGGUCUUCGGAUCGUAAAACUCUGUUAUUAGGGAAGAACAAAUGUGUAAGUAACUAUGCACGUCUUGACGGUACCUAAUCAGAAAGCCACGGCUAACUACGUG
Molecule: ribosomal RNA, 497 nt
Filed under: uncultured bacterium
Lineage: Bacteria
Description: partial 16S ribosomal RNA
Rfam family: Bacterial small subunit ribosomal RNA
Source: RNAcentral